RNAcentral lists this long non-coding RNA (636 nucleotides) under Lucilia cuprina (Australian sheep blowfly). RNAcentral's name for it is "uncharacterized LOC124420795, transcript variant X3". Lineage: Eukaryota; Metazoa; Arthropoda; Insecta; Diptera; Calliphoridae. The record is from RNAcentral.
UGAAUUGUUAACAAUAGUGGUUUUCAGUUAACGAAUGUAACUAAACCAGUUAAGACGUAUUCAAGCGAAAUUUAAGUGUAAUAUUGGGAAAAAAAGAGAGACAAGUGAAAAAAAACUUUUUAACAAAAUAAAAAGUAUGAAAAAAAUUUGCAUUAAAUUAUUAGUUACAAAUACUACCUAAUAUUAACUUCAAAAAUAUUAAAAAAAGAAAAUUAUUAUGUUCCAAAUACUAAAAAUAAAUAAUUUAACAAGUUUCAAUUUCAUUACAAAAUUUAGUGCAAAAUAUUUUAGCAGAGAGUGAAGAAAGCUUAACAGAAAAAUGUUAAAUGAAAAUAAAAAUAAAAUCAACAAAAUGUAAUUGCGUUUUAAACGAAUUCUCAGCUCAUUUCUGAAUAAAACGAUCGAUGUGUAAGCACGAAACAAAAAAAAAAAAUAAAUAAAAAAAUAUAUUUUAUUUUAAACUCCAACGAAAUUGAAACUUGUUAAAUUUACAAAACUAAAUUGAAUGAAAAAUAUAAUCGAGCAAAAAUAUAACGUAUAAAACCCUGAAAAGUGUUAAUUAAAAGCAAAAGCUAACGAAAAUCUACAAAUAAAAAAGUGACAAACAAAAUUUUAAAAAUAUUUUUUAUUUUAAUA